GACGAACGCUGGCGGCGUGCUUAACACAUGCAAGUCGAACGGUGAAGCGCGUUCCUUUUUGGUGGGUGUGGAUGAGUGGCGAACGGGUGAGUAACACGUGAGUAACCUGCCCCCUCCUGCUUGAUAACCGCAUGAAAGUGUGGCUAAUACGGGAUAUUUUGGGUCUGUCGCAUCAUGGGUCUGGGAAAGUUUUUGUUUCGGUGGGGGAUGGGCUCGCGGCCUAUCAGCUUGUUGGUGGGGUGAUGGCCUACCAAGGCGGUGACGGGUAGCCGGCCUGAGAGGGUGGACGGUCACGCUGGGGCUGAGCCUCGGCCACGACUCCGACGGGAGGCAGCAGUGGGGCUUAUGGAACGAUGGGCGGAAGGCUGAUGCAGCGACGCCGCGGGAGGGAUGGAGGCCUGCGGGUUGAGAACUGCUUUCGGCAGUGAAGCAAGCCGGCCUCAUCUGUGGGUGGGUUGACGGUACCUGGAGAAGAAGCGCCGGCUAACUACGUG
RNAcentral lists this ribosomal RNA (494 nucleotides) under uncultured bacterium. RNAcentral's name for it is "partial 16S ribosomal RNA". It matches the Rfam family "Bacterial small subunit ribosomal RNA", at positions 28 to 507 of the family's 1533-position model. The record is from RNAcentral.